GGGAAGGUGGCUCAGUGGUAGAGCGCCUGCCUUGCAUGCAUGAGGCCCUGGGUUCGAUUCCUCAGCACCCCA
This 72-nucleotide transfer RNA is filed under the name Dipodomys ordii (Ord's kangaroo rat). It matches the Rfam family "tRNA". From Rfam's summary of the family: Transfer RNA (tRNA) molecules are approximately 80 nucleotides in length. Their secondary structure includes four short double-helical elements and three loops (D, anti-codon, and T loops). Further hydrogen bonds mediate the characteristic L-shaped molecular structure. tRNAs have two regions of fundamental functional importance: the anti-codon, which is responsible for specific mRNA codon recognition, and the 3' end, to which the tRNAs corresponding amino acid is attached (by aminoacyl-tRNA synthetases). tRNAs cope with the degeneracy of the genetic code in two manners: having more than one tRNA (with a specific anti-codon) for a particular amino acid; and 'wobble' base-pairing, i.e. permitting non-standard base-pairing at the 3rd anti-codon position. Lineage: Eukaryota; Metazoa; Chordata; Mammalia; Rodentia; Heteromyidae. The record is from Rfam by way of RNAcentral.